GAUGAACGCUGGCGGCGUGCUUAACACAUGCAAGUCGAACGGAAAGGCCCAAGCUUGCUUGGGUACUCGAGUGGCGAACGGGUGAGUAACACGUGGGUGAUCUGCCCUGCACUUCGGGAUAAGCCUGGGAAACUGGGUCUAAUACCGGAUAGGACGAUGGUUUGGAUGCCAUUGUGGAAAGUUUUUUCGGUGUGGGAUGAGCUCGCGGCCUAUCAGCUUGUUGGUGGGGUAAUGGCCUACCAAGGCGUCGACGGGUAGCCGGCCUGAGAGGGUGUACGGCCACAUUGGGACUGAGAUACGGCCCAGACUCCUACGGGAGGCAGCAGUGGGGAAUAUUGCACAAUGGGCGCAGGCCUGAUGCAGCGACGCCGCGUGGGGGAUGACAGCCUUCGGGUUGUAAACUCCUUUCGCUAGGGACGAAGCGUUUUUGUGACGGUACCUGGAGAAGAAGCACCGGCUAACUACGUG
This 468-nucleotide ribosomal RNA is filed under the name uncultured bacterium. RNAcentral describes it as "partial 16S ribosomal RNA". It matches the Rfam family "Bacterial small subunit ribosomal RNA", at positions 28 to 507 of the family's 1533-position model. The record is from RNAcentral.